CACGUAGGGCGCAAGCGUUGUCCGGAAUUAUUGGGCGUAAAGAGCUCGUAGGCGGUCUGUUACGUCUGCUGUGAAAACCCGGGGCUUAACCCUGGGCUUGCAGUGGAUACGGGUAGACUAGAGGCAGGUAGGGGAGAAUGGAAUUCCCGGUGUAGCGGUGAAAUGCGCAGAUAUCGGGAAGAACACCCGUGGCGAAGGCGGUUCUCUGGGACGGUACUGACGCUGAGACGCGAAAGCGUGGGGAGCGAACAGG
This 253-nucleotide ribosomal RNA is filed under the name uncultured bacterium. Its description in RNAcentral is "partial 16S ribosomal RNA". It matches the Rfam family "Bacterial small subunit ribosomal RNA", at positions 524 to 776 of the family's 1533-position model. The record is from RNAcentral.